Molecule: ribosomal RNA, 370 nt
Filed under: uncultured Oscillospiraceae bacterium
Lineage: Bacteria; Bacillati; Bacillota; Clostridia; Eubacteriales; Oscillospiraceae
Description: bacterial SSU rRNA
Rfam family: Bacterial small subunit ribosomal RNA
Source: RNAcentral
UUCCCCUUCGGGGGACAGGGUGACAGGUGGUGCAUGGUUGUCGUCAGCUCGUGUCGUGAGAUGUUGGGUUAAGUCCCGCAACGAGCGCAACCCCUGUGGUUAGUUGCCAGCAAGUAGCGUUGGGCACUCUAGCCAGACUGCGGUGAUAAAUCGGAGGAAGGUGGGGACGACGUCAAAUCAUCAUGCCCUUUAUGUCCUGGGCUACACACGUACUACAAUGGCCGUUACAACGGGAAGCGAAGGAGCAAUCCGGAGCAAAUCCCUUAAAGGCGGUCCCAGUUCAGAUUGUGGGCUGAAACUCGCCCACAUGAAGGCGGAAUUGCUAGUAAUUGCAGAUCAGCAUGCUGCAGUGAAUACGUUCCCGGGCCUU